UACGUAGGGUGCGAGCGUUAAUCGGAAUUACUGGGUGUAAAGCGUGCGCAGGCGGUUCGCCAAGUCAGGUGUGAAAUCCCCGGGCUUAACCUGGGAAUUGCGCUUGAAACUAGCGGGCUUGAGUGUGGCAGAGGGGGGUGGAAUUCCACGUGUAGCAGUGAAAUGCGUAGAGAUGUGGAGGAACACCGAUGGCGAAGGCAGCCCCCUGGGUCAACACUGACGCUCAUGCACGAAAGCGUGGGGAGCAAACAGG
RNAcentral lists this ribosomal RNA (253 nucleotides) under uncultured bacterium. RNAcentral describes it as "partial 16S ribosomal RNA". It matches the Rfam family "Bacterial small subunit ribosomal RNA", at positions 524 to 776 of the family's 1533-position model. The record is from RNAcentral.